Molecule: ribosomal RNA, 538 nt
Filed under: uncultured Sphingomonas sp.
Lineage: Bacteria; Pseudomonadati; Pseudomonadota; Alphaproteobacteria; Sphingomonadales; Sphingomonadaceae
Description: bacterial SSU rRNA
Rfam family: Bacterial small subunit ribosomal RNA
Source: RNAcentral
ACGAAGGCUUCGGCCUUAGUGGCGCACGGGUGCGUAACGCGUGGGAAUCUGCCCUCAGGUUCGGAAUAACAGCGAGAAAUUGCUGCUAAUACCGGAUGAUAUCGCGAGAUCAAAGAUUUAUCGCCUGAGGAUGAGCCCGCGUAGGAUUAGCUAGUUGGUGUGGUAAAGGCGCACCAAGGCGACGAUCCUUAGCUGGUCUGAGAGGAUGAUCAGCCACACUGGGACUGAGACACGGCCCAGACUCCUACGGGAGGCAGCAGUGGGGAAUAUUGGACAAUGGGCGAAAGCCUGAUCCAGCAAUGCCGCGUGAGUGAUGAAGGCCUUAGGGUUGUAAAGCUCUUUUACCCGGGAUGAUAAUGACAGUACCGGGAGAAUAAGCUCCGGCUAACUCCGUGCCAGCAGCCGCGGUAAUACGGAGGGAGCUAGCGUUAUUCGGAAUUACUGGGCGUAAAGCGCACGUAGGCGGCUUUGUAAGUUAGAGGUGAAAGCCUGGAGCUCAACUCCAGAAUUGCCUUUAAGACUGCAUCGCUUGAAUCCA